UAUUAAAAAAAUAUUCAUUUGUACUGUUAAAAACUAAUGUGGUUAAUGAAAUAACUAGACACGUCACAUGUACCUUAUGCUCAUGUAUAAGGAUAAUUUAUUAACAAUAAAAAUGGAUGAAAUUUUUAAUA
This 131-nucleotide microRNA precursor is filed under the name Gossypium hirsutum (cotton). RNAcentral describes it as "MIR7502 microRNA precursor family". It matches the Rfam family "MIR7502 microRNA precursor family". The record is from Rfam by way of RNAcentral. RNAcentral also lists the same sequence under 1 other name. Lineage: Eukaryota; Viridiplantae; Streptophyta; Magnoliopsida; Malvales; Malvaceae.